GAUUAAAAAUUUUCUUUCUAUUUUUAUUGUUUAAAACUAGCAUGAUCGACAGAAUAACCAAAUAAUUAUAUGUGAUAUGCCAUGUACACCUUCAUGUUAAUAUGUAUGGAUCGGUUUUUAACAAUAAAAAUAGACAUAAAUUAUUAACA
Molecule: microRNA precursor, 149 nt
Organism: Gossypium arboreum
Lineage: Eukaryota; Viridiplantae; Streptophyta; Magnoliopsida; Malvales; Malvaceae
Rfam family: MIR7502 microRNA precursor family
Source: Rfam